ACCUCGGCCGGCCCUCAGCAACCCCAAGCUCAAGGGGUUGCGGCUCUGGCAAGGGGAGCUCCGCGGGUUAGGGAGAGGGGCGCCCUCUUUCCCCUCCCUCCAGGUCGACCGCGGCGGGGAUCCAGCUCCACCCGUAGGACACGAACCGCACGCAGUGACCAGCUCGAGUUUCCGAGCCCAUUCCAAUUGCUCCCGCCAAGCACAGGGAUCCCGCGAACCUCCGCACAAAGCCCGAGGCGAGCGCGCCUUGCCAGCCCACCUCCAGAGCGGAUCCGCGAAGUACGGCCCGGCCGGGGUCCCUGGCCCACCUGGGAGCCGAGCUCGCGCCCGCCGGGGGGGAGAAAGCCGGGAAGGGGAGAAGAGGAGCCGUCGGUCCUGGGGGCCGAGGACUGGGACUUUGUAGGCCAGUUGAACCAACACCCUCAUCUCGCCCGCAAAGACCCAGCCCUCAGCUCCCGCGCGUCUCGGACUCGGGCUGCGUCCCGACGGGCUCCCUCGAGCGAGAUCCGGCCCGCUUUCCACGCGCUCUGCUCGGCCGAGACUCUGCGUUUUCCCCCAGCGGCGUCCCCCAAAGGCGGCAUCCGGCUCGCCCGACCUCGACCCGCGGGGCUCCGAGACCAGCCCCCGAAGGGUUACACGACGCCUGGCGCGCCGCGGCGCCCAGGCCACCCCCGGGCUGCCCCGGCGCAGGCCGAGGGACAGUGCGGGGUGGGGGAGGUGCGGGGACCCAGCCUUCCCCCAUCCUCCACCCGCCGCCCAGCGCAAGAGUUACACGCCGAGAAACUUCGCCACGAUCCCACGCCGCGCCCGCGAGGCCCAGCUCCGCGCCGCCUGGGUUACCUGCGCUCUGAUCCGCCGGGCGCAGGGCCGGCCGGGCCGCUCGCAGUGCAGGCCGCGCCCUCCUGCACCGCCGAGCCCGCGCCGCCACCGGGGCUCAGGGGGAGCAGCCGCCAGCCCGGCCCGGCGCCCCGACGUUCCGGACGCCCCACACGCGCCGGGCCGGGGGCCGAGGCCCGGGGCCUCGCUCAACCUGUCCGGGACCUGGGGGCCGGCGCCGCCCCCUCCCCAAGGAGCGCGAGCCCGGCGCCGCGGGGAGAGGAGCGGGGCAGCAAGACCCUUCGAAAGUUGGGGGAGUUCCGCCCGCUUGCGGCGCGGCCCGAGCUGGCUCCACGUGCUGGUGACACAUCAGGAAGGCUGCGCGCCCCGCGGCUCCCGGCGGGCGGACGCGGCCAGCGCCCGCCCGCACCGCCUCCCGGAGCCAAGCGGACGCGCCCCGCCCCGGCCCGCCCUCCGCCCGCCUCUCGGCGGCGCCGCCCCCGCCCCCGGCCGCGGAGCCCGCUCCAGCCUGCGGCACCCGCGGAGGACACCCGGGCUGGGGGUGGGGACCCGGGCGGCCCUCUCGCGGGCUGUCUGAGCCGCCCCGGGGAUCGAUUCCGGGCGCGGGCUGCCCGACUCGACAGUCUCGAGUGCCUUCCACGCAGUCACGCAGCCCUUCCCGCCCCCGAGCUCCAGUAA
This 1515-nucleotide long non-coding RNA is filed under the name Sus scrofa (pig). Its description in RNAcentral is "lncRNA (ENSSSCG00070009806.1)". Lineage: Eukaryota; Metazoa; Chordata; Mammalia; Artiodactyla; Suidae. The record is from RNAcentral.